RNAcentral lists this long non-coding RNA (570 nucleotides) under Musa acuminata (dwarf banana). RNAcentral's name for it is "long non-coding RNA (MACU_LNC001661)". The record is from RNAcentral. Lineage: Eukaryota; Viridiplantae; Streptophyta; Magnoliopsida; Zingiberales; Musaceae.
GACCUUUCUCAUCCCACUACUCUCUGUGUUGUUAAAUGCAUAAGAGAUCAAACCCAAACGAUUAAGAGAUUGUGAGAAACGGCCUAACAAUUAACUCUUCGUCCCGAGCCACCUUUAUGGCAUAUGGUCAAUCAUCGAAUGCCGCGUCUCCUCUCUCUCUCUCUCUUUUAUUCUAUACUGUAGAGGAGUUCAUCGAUGGCUAGCGAGCUUCCACGCACCCACCACCACCACCACCAACCUUACAAGAAUGGAAGCUAAGGAUAGAUAGAAGAAAUAAACAACGUUUCAUUUAUUUAACUUCAUCUUCCUAAAUGAAGUGCUAUGUUAAAGAACAACACAUCAUCACAAGGUUAAACUAUAAAAGAGAAUAAAGUCAGGCAGCUCACCUGUCCUCGUUGCUCGGGUACAAGAAAACCAAGUCGUUCUAUCCUGCGCAUCGAAGGGAAGAAAAAACCAUGAAAAUUAGAAGGAAAUGAUGGCCCUUUGGUUUUAGCCGGACCUCCCCCGGAGGAGGAGCUACUAAACGAUAUGGAAUCGGGCGGGACCGGUGUGGCCAUGGGAUCGAGUCAC